AGGGGUAACAGGGGGUGCUUGCACUCCGCUGACGACCGGCGCACGGGUGCGUAACGCGUAUGCAACCUACCUUUUACAGGGGGAUAGUCAAGAGAAAUUUUGAAUAAUACCCCAUACGAUCCCAAGUACACCUGUACUUAGGAGGAAAGUUCCGGCGGUAAAAGAUGGGCAUGCGUCCUAUUAGUUAGUUGGUGAGGUAACGGCUCACCAAGGCGACGAUAGGUAGGGGUCCUGAGAGGGAGAUCCCCCACACUGGUACUGAGACACGGACCAGACUCCUACGGGAGGCAGCAGUGAGGAAUAUUGGACAAUGGAGGCAACUCUGAUCCAGCCAUGCCGCGUGCAGGAAGACGGCCCUAUGGGUUGUAAACUGCUUUUAUACAGGAAGAAACGUACGUACGCGUACCUAU
RNAcentral lists this ribosomal RNA (410 nucleotides) under uncultured Bacteroidota bacterium. RNAcentral describes it as "bacterial SSU rRNA". It matches the Rfam family "Bacterial small subunit ribosomal RNA", at positions 65 to 472 of the family's 1533-position model. The record is from RNAcentral. Lineage: Bacteria; Pseudomonadati; Bacteroidota.